AUUGAACGCUGGCGGCAGGCCUAACACAUGCAAGUCGAAUGGUAACAGGAAACAGCUUGCUGUUUCGCUGACGAGUGGCGGACGGGUGAGUAAUGUCUGGGAAACUGCCUGAUGGAGGGGGAUAACUACUGGAAACGGUAGCUAAUACCGCAUAACGUCGCAAGACCAAAGAGGGGGACCUUCGGGCCUCUUGCCAUCAGAUGUGCCCAGAUGGGAUUAGCUAGUAGGUGGGGUAACGGCUCACCUAGGCGACGAUCCCUAGCUGGUCUGAGAGGAUGACCAGCCACACUGGAACUGAGACACGGUACAGACUCCUACGGGAGGCAGCAGUGGGGAAUAUUGCACAAUGGGCGCAAGCCUGAUGCAGCCAUGCCGCGUGUAUGCAGAAGGCCUUCGGGUUGUAAAGUACUUUCAGCGGGGAGGAAGGGAGUAAAGUUAAUACCUUUGCUCAUUGACGUUACCCGCAGAAGAAGCACCGGCUAACUCCGUG
RNAcentral lists this ribosomal RNA (490 nucleotides) under uncultured bacterium. RNAcentral's name for it is "partial 16S ribosomal RNA". It matches the Rfam family "Bacterial small subunit ribosomal RNA", at positions 30 to 507 of the family's 1533-position model. The record is from RNAcentral.